UACGGAGGGGGCUAGCGUUGUUCGGAAUUACUGGGCGUAAAGGGCUCGUAGGCGGCCAACUAAGUCAGACGUGAAAUCCCUCGGCUUAACCGGGGAACUGCAUCUGAUACUGGAUGGCUUGAGAUCGGGAGAGGGAUGCGGAAUUCCAGGUGUAGCGGUGAAAUGCGUAGAUAUCUGGAGGAACACCGGUGGCGAAGGCGGCAUCCUGGACCGACACUGACGCUGAACAGCGAAAGCCAGGGGAGCAAACGGG
RNAcentral lists this ribosomal RNA (253 nucleotides) under uncultured bacterium. Its description in RNAcentral is "partial 16S ribosomal RNA". It matches the Rfam family "Bacterial small subunit ribosomal RNA", at positions 524 to 776 of the family's 1533-position model. The record is from RNAcentral.